GGAGGCCUUAUGGCUCAGUAAUAGAGUGCCUGCUUUGCAGGCAGAAGGUCCCAGGUUCAAUCCCGGGCAUUUCCA
Molecule: transfer RNA, 75 nt
Filed under: Sphaerodactylus townsendi
Lineage: Eukaryota; Metazoa; Chordata; Lepidosauria; Squamata; Sphaerodactylidae
Description: tRNA-Ala
Rfam family: tRNA
About the family: Transfer RNA (tRNA) molecules are approximately 80 nucleotides in length. Their secondary structure includes four short double-helical elements and three loops (D, anti-codon, and T loops). Further hydrogen bonds mediate the characteristic L-shaped molecular structure. tRNAs have two regions of fundamental functional importance: the anti-codon, which is responsible for specific mRNA codon recognition, and the 3' end, to which the tRNAs corresponding amino acid is attached (by aminoacyl-tRNA synthetases). tRNAs cope with the degeneracy of the genetic code in two manners: having more than one tRNA (with a specific anti-codon) for a particular amino acid; and 'wobble' base-pairing, i.e. permitting non-standard base-pairing at the 3rd anti-codon position.
Source: RNAcentral